Molecule: ribosomal RNA, 497 nt
Filed under: uncultured bacterium
Lineage: Bacteria
Description: partial 16S ribosomal RNA
Rfam family: Bacterial small subunit ribosomal RNA
Source: RNAcentral
GAUGAACGCUGGCGGCGUGCCUAAUACAUGCAAGUCGAGCGAACAGACGAGGAGCUUGCUCCUCUGACGUUAGCGGCGGACGGGUGAGUAACACGUGGAUAACCUACCUAUAAGACUGGGAUAACUUCGGGAAACCGGAGCUAAUACCGGAUAAUAUAUUGAACCGCAUGGUUCAAUAGUGAAAGACGGUUUUGCUGUCACUUAUAGAUGGAUCCGCGCCGCAUUAGCUAGUUGGUAAGGUAACGGCUUACCAAGGCAACGAUGCGUAGCCGACCUGAGAGGGGGAUCGGCCACACUGGAACUGAGACACGGUCCAGACUCCUACGGGAGGCAGCAGUAGGGAAUCUUCUGCAAUGGGCGAAAGCCUGACGGAGCAACGCCGCGUGAGUGAUGAAGGUCUUCGGAUCGUAAAACUCUGUUAUUAGGGAAGAACAAAUGUGUAAGUAACUAUGCACGUCUUGACGGUACCUAAUCAGAAAGCCACGGCUAACUACGUG